GACGAACGCUGGCGGCGUGCCUAAUACAUGCAAGUCGAGCGGACCAAAGGGAGCUUGCUCCUGGAGGUUAGCGGCGAACGGGUGAGUAACACGUGGGCAACCUGCCUGUAAGACUGGGAUAACAUCGAGAAAUCGGUGCUAAUACCGGAUAAUAAAAAGAACUGCAUGGUUCUUUUUGAAAGAUGGUUUCGGCUAUCACUUACAGAUGGGCCCGCGGCGCAUUAGCUAGUUGGUGAGGUAACGGCCCACCAAGGCGACGAUGCGUAGCCGACCUGAGAGGGUGAUCGGCCACACUGGGACUGAGACACGGCCCAGACUCCUACGGGAGGCAGCAGUAGGGAAUCUUCCGCAAUGGACGAAAGUCUGACGGAGCAACGCCGCGUGAGUGAUGAAGGUUUUCGGAUCGUAAAACUCUGUUGUUAGGGAAGAACAAGUGCCGUUCGAAAGGGCGGCACCUUGACGGUACCUAACGAGAAAGCCACGGCUAACUACGUGCCAGCAGCCGCGGUAAAGUA
This 515-nucleotide ribosomal RNA is filed under the name uncultured bacterium. RNAcentral's name for it is "bacterial SSU rRNA". It matches the Rfam family "Bacterial small subunit ribosomal RNA", at positions 28 to 527 of the family's 1533-position model. The record is from RNAcentral.